AUGAACGCUGGCGGCGUGCUUAACACAUGCAAGUCGCACGAGGCGGAGGGGGCAACCCCUCCAGUCGAGUGGCGGACGGGUGAGUAACACGUGGGUAACCUGCCCGGAAGUGGGGAAUACCUCGGGGAAACUCGAGCUAAUACCGCAUGACAUCUUUGGGACGAGAGUCCUGAUGAUCAAAGCGGGGUCGCAAGAUCUCGCGCUACCGGAUGGGCCCGCGCCCGAUUAGCUAGUUGGCGAGGUAACGGCUCACCAAGGCAACGAUCCGUAGCUGAUCUGAGAGGAUGAUCAGCCACACUGGGACUGAGACACGGCCCAGACUCCUACGGGAGGCAGCAGUGGGGAAUCUUGGACAAUGGGCGCAAGCCUGAUCCAGCCAUGCCGCGUGAGUGAAGAAGGCCUUAGGGUUGUAAAGCUCUUUUACCAGGGACGAUAAUGACGGUACCUGGAGAAUAAG
This 457-nucleotide ribosomal RNA is filed under the name uncultured bacterium. RNAcentral's name for it is "bacterial SSU rRNA". It matches the Rfam family "Bacterial small subunit ribosomal RNA", at positions 29 to 490 of the family's 1533-position model. The record is from RNAcentral.